RNAcentral lists this ribosomal RNA (322 nucleotides) under Eudorylas sp. Jeff Skevington 17020. Its description in RNAcentral is "partial 12S ribosomal RNA". Lineage: Eukaryota; Metazoa; Arthropoda; Insecta; Diptera; Pipunculidae. The record is from RNAcentral.
GUUAGGUUCUUGAAAUUUAAAAAAUUUGGCGGUAUUUUAGUCUAUUCAGAGGAACCUGUUUUGUAAUCGAUAGUCCACGUUGUAUCUUACUUAAAUUUGUUUUAAUAAUUUAUAUAUCGUUGUUAUAAAAUAUUUUAUAAAAAUAAUAAUUUUUGAAAUCUUAUAUUUAGGAAUAUCUCAGAUCAAGAUGUAGUUUAUGUUUAAGUUUAUAAUGGGUUACAUUUAUUUUAUUAUUGGAAAUAGGUAUGUAAUUUAUUUAUUAAAAUUGGAUUUGAUAGUAAAUUUGUAUAGAUAAAUAAAUUGAUUAUAGCUCUAAAAUAUG